GUGAAAAGAGAAACCCUAUAACAGGUAAAGCAAAACCUAACAAGUAAGGAAAAGUGUGUAUGUGUUUUUACUAAUAGGUUUAAAGAUGCAAAUCUUACAGAGACAGAGAGAGGAAACAGAUGGGAGUGUUGGGGAGAGAGAGUUGGGAAUUUCAAAAGUAAUAUAAUAUUAUUUCUUUAUUUCAAUUUUGACCAGUUGGGCACUACUGCAACGAAGUUUUCAAAUCAGUCUAAUAUUUCCAAAAUUAAAAGGUUUGGUCAAA
This 262-nucleotide unclassified non-coding RNA is filed under the name Hevea brasiliensis (rubber tree). The record is from RNAcentral. Lineage: Eukaryota; Viridiplantae; Streptophyta; Magnoliopsida; Malpighiales; Euphorbiaceae.